RNAcentral lists this ribosomal RNA (296 nucleotides) under uncultured bacterium. Its description in RNAcentral is "partial 16S ribosomal RNA". It matches the Rfam family "Bacterial small subunit ribosomal RNA", at positions 338 to 623 of the family's 1533-position model. The record is from RNAcentral.
CCUACGGGAGGCAGCAGUGGGGAAUAUUGGACAAUGGGGGGAACCCGUGAUCCAGCCAUGCCGCGUGUGUGAAGAAGGCCUUAUGGUUGUAAAGCACUUUAAGCGAGGAGGAGGCUCUUCUAGUUAAUACCUAGGAUGAGUGGACGUUACUCGCAGAAUAAGCACCGGCUAACUCUGUGCCAGCAGCCGCGGUAAUACAGAGGGUGCGAGCGUUAAUCGGAUUUACUGGGCGUAAAGCGUGCGUAGGCGGCUUUUUAAAGUCGGAUGUGAAAUCCCCGAGCUUAACUUGGGAAUUG